RNAcentral lists this non-coding RNA (473 nucleotides) under Pongo abelii (Sumatran orangutan). The record is from RNAcentral. Lineage: Eukaryota; Metazoa; Chordata; Mammalia; Primates; Hominidae.
UGAAAUGACCGCUACUGCUCCUUCACAGUAUAUUUACAUGAGCUUCCUGUAGACAUCAGUGCCAUUUAAAAUUAAGUUUCGUUUCACUUCUUCCAGGCUGGAACACAGAUGUGGGGCUGGAAGUGGAGCAGCCCCUUUUAGCCAUGAGGCCCAAAGCCACGUGCUAAGGAUGGUGAAGCAGGGGAUAGAAAGAGCCUGUGUCUUUGCUGACUUCCUUAAGCCAUGGCACCAGCCUGGGCCUGCCCUACUCUGGACAUCUAAAUGUCAGGAGCUAAGAAUCAAGUCAGUCUAGAGGUGUUGGUUGUCAUGUGGAGAGAUCCUUCCCAAGAAGAAAGAUGCUACAAAGUGUCCUGGAAAUCCUCUUUGCCCCUCCAGAUCCAUCCUCCCUACCCUGCUCUGUGCCUCAGGAAGCUGCUUUUCAUGGUUCACAUCAACCAGGCUCCUGUACCCUCCAGAUGGGUCCAUCCUAUGGG